UACGUAGGCAGCGAGCGUUGUUCGGAAUUACUGGGCGUAAAGAGUGUGUAGGCGGUGCUCCCAGUCUGUUGUGAAAUCUCCCGUCUUAACUGGGAGGGUGCAGCGGAAACUAGAGUGCUAGAGGGUGGGAGAGGUAAGCGGAAUUCCUGGUGUAGCGGUGAAAUGCGUAGAUAUCAGGAGGAACACCUGUGGUGUAGACAGCUUACUGGACCACUUCUGACGCUGAGACACGAAAGCGUGGGUAGCAAACAGG
RNAcentral lists this ribosomal RNA (253 nucleotides) under uncultured bacterium. Its description in RNAcentral is "partial 16S ribosomal RNA". It matches the Rfam family "Bacterial small subunit ribosomal RNA", at positions 524 to 776 of the family's 1533-position model. The record is from RNAcentral.